Molecule: ribosomal RNA, 510 nt
Filed under: uncultured bacterium
Lineage: Bacteria
Description: partial 16S ribosomal RNA
Rfam family: Bacterial small subunit ribosomal RNA
Source: RNAcentral
GACGAACGCUGGCGGCGUGCUUAACACAUGCAAGUCGAACGAAGAGCGAUGGAAGCUUGCUUCUCUCAAUCUUAGUGGCGAACGGGUGAGUAACGCGUAAUCAACCUGCCCUUCAGAGGGGGACAACAGUUGGAAACGACUGCUAAUACCGCAUACGAUCUAAUCUCGGCAUCGAGGAUAGAUGAAAGGUGGCCGCUACAUGUAAGCUAUCACUGAAGGAGGGGAUUGCGUCUGAUUAGCUAGUUGGAGGGGUAACGGCCCACCAAGGCGAGGAUCAGUAGCCGGUCUGAGAGGAUGAACGGCCACAUUGGGACGGAGACACGGCCCAGACUCCUACGGGAGGCAGCAGUGGGGAAUCUUCCGCAAUGGACGAAAGUCUGACGGAGCAACGCCGCGUGAGUGAUGACGGCCUUCGGGUUGUAAAGCUCUGUUAAUCGGGACGAAAGGCCUUCUUGCGAAUAGUGAGAAGGAUUGACGGUACCGGAAUAGAAAGCCACGGCUAACUACGUG